GCAAGGAGCCACCCCACCGCGGCGCCCAACGCAAAUGCGGGCGGCGAGGAAAGUCCGGGCAACGCAGGGCGCCCUGCUACCUAACGGGUAGGACUGGCCAAUCGGGCCAGGACAGCCAGUGCCACAGAAAAUAACCGCCGCUUCUUGGCUGUUAGCUUUUGGCUAGUAGCUGUUAGCCUUUGUUCUUGAACAUUGCUGACAGCUAGCAGCUUAAAGCUACUAGCUAAAGAAAGGUAAGGGUGAAAAGGUGCGGUAAGAGCGCACCAGCGGCUGGGUGACCACGCCGGCUGGGUAAACCUCAGGGGUUGCAAAACCAAAUAGGCGAACACGCUGGCCCUCGGGCUGGCACCGGGCGGCCCGCUCGGGUUCGCGGGUAGGUUGCUGGAGCCUAGGGGUGACCCUAGGCCUAGAUAAAUGGUGGGGCCGCCGCCCGCGGAAACGCGGAAGGGCGAACAGAACCCGGCUUAUCGGCUCCUUGCCUAA
This 483-nucleotide RNase P RNA is filed under the name Hymenobacter sp. RNAcentral describes it as "RNase P RNA component class A". It matches the Rfam family "Bacterial RNase P class A". From Rfam's summary of the family: Ribonuclease P (RNase P) is a ubiquitous endoribonuclease, found in archaea, bacteria and eukarya as well as chloroplasts and mitochondria. The record is from RNAcentral. Lineage: Bacteria; Pseudomonadati; Bacteroidota; Cytophagia; Cytophagales; Hymenobacteraceae.